GAUGAACGCUGGCGGCGUGCUUAACACAUGCAAGUCGAACGGUGAAGCUCCAGCUUGCUGGAGUGGAUCAGUGGCGAACGGGUGAGUAACACGUGAGCAACCUGCCCCUGACUCUGGGAUAACAGCCGGAAACGGCUGCUAAUACCGGAUAUGCACCAUGAACGCAUGUUCUGUGGUGGGAAAGAUUUUUCGGUUGGGGAUGGGCUCGCGGCCUAUCAGCUUGUUGGUGAGGUAAUGGCUCACCAAGGCGUCGACGGGUAGCCGGCCUGAGAGGGUGACCGGCCACACUGGGACUGAGACACGGCCCAGACUCCUACGGGAGGCAGCAGUGGGGAAUAUUGCACAAUGGGCGAAAGCCUGAUGCAGCAACGCCGCGUGAGGGAUGACGGCCUUCGGGUUGUAAACCUCUUUUAGCAGGGAAGAAGCGAGAGAGACGGUACCUGCAGAAAAAGCGCCGGCUAACUACGUG
RNAcentral lists this ribosomal RNA (469 nucleotides) under uncultured bacterium. RNAcentral describes it as "partial 16S ribosomal RNA". It matches the Rfam family "Bacterial small subunit ribosomal RNA", at positions 28 to 507 of the family's 1533-position model. The record is from RNAcentral.